This 465-nucleotide ribosomal RNA is filed under the name uncultured bacterium. Its description in RNAcentral is "partial 16S ribosomal RNA". It matches the Rfam family "Bacterial small subunit ribosomal RNA", at positions 28 to 507 of the family's 1533-position model. The record is from RNAcentral.
GACGAACGCUGGCGGCGUGCUUAACACAUGCAAGUCGAACGGAAAGGCCCUGCUUGCAGGGUACUCGAGUGGCGAACGGGUGAGUAACACGUGGGUGAUCUGCCCUGCACUUCGGGAUAAGCCUGGGAAACUGGGUCUAAUACCGGAUAGGAGCCAUUUUUAGUGUGAUGGUUGGAAAGUUUUUUCGGUGUAGGAUGAGCUCGCGGCCUAUCAGCUUGUUGGUGGGGUAAUGGCCUACCAAGGCGGCGACGGGUAGCCGGCCUGAGAGGGUGGACGGCCACAUUGGGACUGAGAUACGGCCCAGUCUCCUACGGGAGGCAGCAGUGGGGAAUAUUGCACAAUGGGCGCAAGCCUGAUGCAGCGACGCCGCGUGGGGGAUGACGGCCUUCGGGUUGUAAACUCCGUUCGCUAGGGACGAAGCUUUUUGUGAUGGUACCUAGAUAAGAAGCACCGGCUAACUACGUG